GACGAACGCUGGCGGCGUGCUUAACACAUGCAAGUCGAACGUGAUUUUUGUGGAAAUUCUUUCGGGAAUGGAAGUGAAAUGAAAGUGGCGAACGGGUGAGUAACACGUGAGCAACCUACCUUACACAGGGGGAUAGCCGUUGGAAACGACGAUUAAUACCGCAUGAGACCACAGAAUCGCAUGAUAUAGGGGUCAAAGAUUUAUCGGUGUAAGAAGGGCUCGCGUCUGAUUAGCUAGUUGGAAGGGUAAAGGCCUACCAAGGCGACGAUCAGUAGCCGGUCUGAGAGGAUGAACGGCCACAUUGGAACUGAGACACGGUCCAAACUCCUACGGGAGGCAGCAGUGGGGAAUAUUGCACAAUGGGGGGAACCCUGAUGCAGCGACGCCGCGUGAGCGAAGAAGGUUUUCGAAUCGUAAAGCUCUGUCCUAUGAGAAGAUAAUGACGGUAUCAUAGGAGGAAGCCCCGGCUAAAUACGUGCCAGCAGCCGCGGUAAUACGUAUGGGGCGAGCGUUGUCCGGAAUUAUUGGGCGUAAAGGGUACGUAGGCGGUUUUUUAAGUCAGAUGUGAAAGCGUGAGGCUUAACCUCAUUAAGCACUUGAAACUGGAAGACUUGAGUGAAGGAGAGGAAAGUGGAAUUCCUAGUGUAGCGGUGAAAUGCGUAGAUAUUAGGAGGAAUACCGGUGGCGAAGGCGACUUUCUGGACUUUUACUGACGCUCAGGUACGAAAGCGUGGGGAGCAAACAGG
RNAcentral lists this ribosomal RNA (746 nucleotides) under uncultured Parvimonas sp. Its description in RNAcentral is "bacterial SSU rRNA". It matches the Rfam family "Bacterial small subunit ribosomal RNA", at positions 28 to 776 of the family's 1533-position model. The record is from RNAcentral. Lineage: Bacteria; Bacillati; Bacillota; Tissierellia; Tissierellales; Peptoniphilaceae.